UACAGAGGUCCCAAGCGUUGUUCGGAUUCACUGGGCGUGAAGGGUGCGCAGGUGGCCAUGAAAGUCUGAUGUGAAAUCUCCGGGCUCGACCCGGAAAAUGCAUUGGAUACUAUGUAGCUUGAGGUUUGGAGGGGGGACUGGAAUUCUCGGUGUAGCAGUGAAAUGCGUAGAUAUCGAGAGGAACACCAGUGGCGAAGGCGGGUCCCUGGACAACACCUGACACUGAGGCACGAAAGCUAGGGGAGCAAACAGG
RNAcentral lists this unclassified non-coding RNA (253 nucleotides) under uncultured Verrucomicrobiota bacterium. Its description in RNAcentral is "uncultured Verrucomicrobia bacterium contains 16S-23S intergenic spacer region". It matches the Rfam family "Bacterial small subunit ribosomal RNA", at positions 524 to 776 of the family's 1533-position model. The record is from RNAcentral. Lineage: Bacteria; Pseudomonadati; Verrucomicrobiota.